ACUGGGAGCUGCUCUGAUGCCACCUUUUAAUUACAGGAACCAUUAAAGAGAUCCUGGGGACUGCCCAGUCUGUGGGCUGCAAUGUUGAUGGCCGCCACCCUCAUGACGUCAUAGAUGACAUCAACAGUGGCGCAGUGGAAUGCCCAGCUAGUUAAGAAGUACAAAGGAAAAUAUUUUAAUAAAGGAUCCUUUGACUACCGUC
Galeopterus variegatus (Sunda flying lemur) is the source of this 202-nucleotide long non-coding RNA. RefSeq lists it as uncharacterized. Lineage: Eukaryota; Metazoa; Chordata; Mammalia; Dermoptera; Cynocephalidae. The transcript is spliced from 2 exons. The record is from RefSeq and is a predicted model, not a curated record.